Molecule: ribosomal RNA, 379 nt
Filed under: Clostridioides difficile
Lineage: Bacteria; Bacillati; Bacillota; Clostridia; Peptostreptococcales; Peptostreptococcaceae
Description: bacterial LSU rRNA
Rfam family: Bacterial large subunit ribosomal RNA
Source: RNAcentral
CCCAUGAGCAGGAUGAAGCGAAAGUAAAAUUUCGUGGAGGUCCGAACCCACGAGCGUUGAAAAGCUCGGGGAUGACUUGUGGGUAGCGGUGAAAUUCCAAUCGAGCACGGAGAUAGCUGGUUCUCACCGAAAUAGCUUUAGGGCUAGCCUCAAGGUGAGAGAUACGGAGGUAGAGCACUGAAUGUCCUAGGGGGUAUUGCACCUACCGAAGAAUAUCAAACUCCGAAUGCCGUCAUCUUAUACUUGGGAGGCAGACUGUGGGUGAUAAGAUUCAUAGUCGAAAGGGCAACAGACCAGAUCGUCAGCUACAGUCGCUAAAUGUACGUUCAGCGGUAGAGGAUGUGGGAUAGCCUAACCAACCAGGACGUGUGGUCAGCAG